UUUUUAGGUGUUCUAACUACUAUUGUUUGCGGAAUUAAAAGUACAUAAAAUAAAGAACAUAGAGAUUUUUAUGUGGAAAACACCUUGCUCAAAAGAUGAAAAACCCAUGACCUACUACUCACUAGUAUUUUUCCAAACUUCCACUAAAAUCAUUAAGCCAAAACAACAUUUACAAAACCUCUUUAUAAUCCUAAGGAUUAACUCUAAUCCCUUUGUAG
This 218-nucleotide long non-coding RNA is filed under the name Nicotiana benthamiana. Its description in RNAcentral is "long non-coding RNA (NBEN_LNC017201)". Lineage: Eukaryota; Viridiplantae; Streptophyta; Magnoliopsida; Solanales; Solanaceae. The record is from RNAcentral.